AAGUCGUAACAAGGUCUCCGUAGGUGAACCUGCGGAGGGAUCAUCAAAGAAUUUUACAAAACCUGGAGGGUUCUUUUCUCUUAGGUAAGAGAGAAGAACUCUCUAACAAACAAAAACGAUCACAACUAUUGAGAGAGAGAGAGAGAGAUUGGAUUGAUUCUCUGGUCUGGGGGGGGGGAUGGAUGAUAAAAGUGUUUGCCUGAUAAUGAUUGACUUGGAAACAGUAACAGAAAUACAACUUUCAACAACGGAUCUCUUGGCUCUCA
RNAcentral lists this unclassified non-coding RNA (266 nucleotides) under fungal sp. Its description in RNAcentral is "partial internal transcribed spacer region". The stretch from base 1 to 46 matches the Rfam family "Eukaryotic small subunit ribosomal RNA", at positions 1786 to 1831 of the family's 1831-position model. Lineage: Eukaryota; Fungi. The record is from RNAcentral.